RNAcentral lists this long non-coding RNA (1640 nucleotides) under Prunus persica (peach). RNAcentral describes it as "long non-coding RNA (PPER_LNC007314)". The record is from RNAcentral. Lineage: Eukaryota; Viridiplantae; Streptophyta; Magnoliopsida; Rosales; Rosaceae.
AAAAUUAUGUUUGUUUAUAGUAUAAAUGGAACACUAUUUUUUUAUAUAAAUGUUUUUUAUUUGAAUAUUUUAAUUUAUUUAAGAUAUCGGAGUGAACUAAAUAUACAAAUCAAAUUAGAACUCUUACGCAAUAUGCUUUAAAUAUCCUUAGACGCAUCAAAAAGAUUUAUUGCGUUAAAUGUUAGUUGCAAAAUUCUUGCAAAAUACAAUUUAGUUUUCUUUGGUGUUGGUUGUUGGUUAUAGCGUUUAUUGUUUAUUGUUUAUUGUUGAUCUAGUCUUUUUGUGGAGCGAGUUAAGGAAAUAAAUUUUCCCUAUCCAGAGAGAGAACUCUAUUUCUUCUAUGGCGUCUUCAUGGCAAGAGCUUGUUCGCCAAGUUUGAACUCCCACUUUAUCAUCGAUGACAACUCUCUUCGAUGCUAGCAACUGCGUUUGAUCAUUUCCCGCACUUCUUUCAAUUUCUUUACAUUCUAGCUGAAGGAGAGACUUUACAUUUACUUAGAGAGUUAACAACCUUAAAGGUAAGACAGGCAAUCAUUCUCUCAAGAUUGAACAUUUGUUUGGUAUGCUUCUGAUUGAAUGAUGACAAUUUCCUUAAAUGGAGCUUUUAGCUUGAAUCGGUGCUCUCGAAGGUUACAAAUUAUUUGGUUAUUUUGAUGGUUCUCUGCUUCCUCCACCGAAAUUUGCUAUUCUUACAUCAGAGAUCACAACUGCAUACAAGGACAAAGCUUUACUGAGUCUAUUUAAAAGCCUAAAAAUUCAAAUAUAAUAGUAACAUAAUAAUACACAUUGCAUUGUAGUUUAUAUUCUAUAAGCCUAACAAAUACCCAUAUAAAAGUAACAUAAAAAUACAUACUGUGUUGUAGUUUAUAUUUUACAAAUAACAAAUACCAAUAUAGGAGUAACGUAAAAGUACACUGCAAUUUCUAUUCUAUAAACCUAAAAAUAUACCAAUGUAAGAGUAACAUAAAAGUACACCAUGUGUUGCAGUUUCUAUUUUAUAAACCUAAAAAAAUACAAAUAUAAGAGUAACAUAAAAAUACACAUUGUGUUGCAAUUUAUAUUCUAUAAACCUAAAAAAAAUUACCAAUAUAAGAGUAAAGUAAAAGUACACACUAUAUUGCAAUUUAAAUUCUAUAAACCUAAAAAUACCAAUAUAAUAGUAAUGUAAAAGUACACAUUGUGUUGCAGUUUCUAUUCUAUAAACCUAAAAUAUAAGAGUAACAUAAAAAUACACAAUGUGUUGAAGUUUUUAUUAUAAACCUAAAAAAAUAUCAAUAUAUAAGAUUACAAUAAAAGUACACAAUGUGUCGUAGUUUCUAUAUAUUCUAUAAACCUUUGAUUGUUAAUAUAAAUAUUUGUAAAUUAACACAUAUCAUAAAAACAAAAUUAGUGUAGUGGUUUGCAAUUGAAGAUUAUCCUUUGAGGGUCAAGGGUUGAGUACCUUCAAGUACACAAAAUUUGCUCUUUUUUUAGGGUGAAUAAAGGGUAGCUGAGGGUGGUGGUGUUGGGUGCUCGGCAGGCGACGGCCGAUGACAGUGGGCAAUUGGCUAACAGCAGUGGGUGGCAGCCGGAGGUGACUCAUCGGACAUGUGGUGUUGUGUGAUUAGCUUUAAAUAAAUUUAUUAAAAUAUAGAAGUAGC